AUCUUCUGCAAUGGGCGAAAGCCUGACGGAGCAACGCCGCGUGAGUGAUGAAGGGUUUCGGCUCGUAAAACUCUGUUAUUAGGGAAGAACAUAUUUGUAAGUAACUGUGCACAUCUUGACGGUACCUAAUCAGAAAGUCACGGCUAACUACGUGCCAGCAGCCGCGGUAAUACGUAGGUGGCAAGCGUUAUCCGGAAUUAUUGGGCGUAAAUCGCGCGUAGGCGGUUUCUUAAGUCUGAUGUGAAAGCCCACGGCUCGACCGUGGAGGGUCAUUGGAAACUGGGAAACUUGAGUGCAGAAGAGGAAAGUGGAAUUCCAUGUGUAGCGGUGAAAUGCGCAGAGAUAUGGAGGAACACCAGUGGCGAAGGCGACUUUCUGGUCUGUAACUGACGCUGAUGUGCGAAAGCGUGGGGAUCAAACAG
Molecule: ribosomal RNA, 422 nt
Filed under: uncultured bacterium
Lineage: Bacteria
Description: bacterial SSU rRNA
Rfam family: Bacterial small subunit ribosomal RNA
Source: RNAcentral